AACGAACGCUGGCGGCAUGCCUAACACAUGCAAGUCGAACGAGACCUUCGUGUCUAGGUGCGCACGGGUGCGUAACGCGGGGGAACCUGCCCUUAGGUUCGCAAUAACUCCCCGAAAGGUGUGCUAAUACCGGAUAAGGUCUUCGGACCAAGGAGUUAUCGCCUUUGGAUGGGCCCGUGUUGGCUUAGCCAGUUGGUAGGGGAAAAGCCUACCAAGGGGACGAUGCAUAGCUGGUCUGAGAGGAUGAUCAGCCACACUGGGAAUGAGACACGGCCCCGACUGCUACGGGAGGCAGCAGUGGGGAAUAUUGGACAAUGGGCGAAAGCCUGAUCAAGCAAUGCCGCGUGAGUGAUGAAGGCCUUAGGGUUGUAAAGCUCUUUUAGCCGGGAUGAUAAUGACAGUAACGGGAGAAUAAGCACCGGCUAACUACGUG
This 433-nucleotide ribosomal RNA is filed under the name uncultured bacterium. RNAcentral's name for it is "partial 16S ribosomal RNA". It matches the Rfam family "Bacterial small subunit ribosomal RNA", at positions 29 to 507 of the family's 1533-position model. The record is from RNAcentral.